UACGGAGGGUGCGAGCGUUAAUCGGAAUUACUGGGCGUAAAGGGCGCGUAGGCGGCCAGAUAAGUCGGGUGUGAAAGCCCUGGGCUCAACCCGGGAAUUGCAUUCGAUACUGUCUGGCUAGAGUAUGGUAGAGGAAAGCGGAAUUCCGGGUGUAGCGGUGAAAUGCGUAGAUAUCCGGAGGAACACCAGUGGCGAAGGCGGCUUUCUGGACCAAUACUGACGCUGAGGCGCGAAAGCGUGGGGAGCAAAC
This 250-nucleotide ribosomal RNA is filed under the name uncultured bacterium. RNAcentral describes it as "partial 16S ribosomal RNA". It matches the Rfam family "Bacterial small subunit ribosomal RNA", at positions 524 to 773 of the family's 1533-position model. The record is from RNAcentral.